UUAUAAUAAUUAUUAUCUUUAUUAUAUCCAUUAUUAUUAAGUGUGAAAGUAAAACUUGGUUUAUUGAAUGAACUAAUAAAGUAAAAAAACUUGCAUUUUUCCGGAUCAAAAUUUUUGGCGAAAAAACAGCGAAAGGAUGCAUUUGUAAAAUGGCAUCUGCACUGAUGACCAAAAAUGUUGAAAAAAAUUACUCUGGUACUGGGAAAAGAAUAAAAGGCGUGGGAAAACUUAAUUUUAGCGCAACAGAAACAUUUAAGUAUAUGGAAGUAAAAGAGAAACUUGGUGACUGUGAAGAUUGCAAAAAUUUUGCCGGAAAAGUUGGCGGGUGGUUUUCAGGGCAAGGAGAUCGAGAACAGGGUCGAAAACAAAGAUCCUUAUCUUUAUAAUCUAUUUAAUAUAAUA
Cotesia glomerata is the source of this 402-nucleotide long non-coding RNA. RefSeq lists it as uncharacterized. The record is from RefSeq and is a predicted model, not a curated record. The transcript is spliced from 3 exons. NCBI's taxonomy places the organism in Eukaryota, Metazoa, Arthropoda, Insecta, Hymenoptera, Braconidae.